ACGCUAGCUACAGGCUUAACACAUGCAAGUCGAGGGGCAGCAUGGUCUUAGCUUGCUAAGGCCGAUGGCGACCGGCGCACGGGUGAGUAACACGUAUCCAACCUGCCGUCUACUCUUGGACAGCCUUCUGAAAGGAAGAUUAAUACAAGAUGGCAUCAUGAGUCCACAUGUUCACAUGAUUAAAGGUAUUCCGGUAGACGAUGGGGAUGCGUUCCAUUAGAUAGUAGGCGGGGUAACGGCCCACCUAGUCUUCGAUGGAUAGGGGUUCUGAGAGGAAGGUCCCCCACAUUGGAACUGAGACACGGUCCAAACUCCUACGGGAGGCAGCAGUGAGGAAUAUUGGUCAAUGGGCGAGAGCCUGAACCAGCCAAGUAGCGUGAAGGAUGACUGCCCUAUGGGUUGUAAACUUCUUUUAUAAAGGAAUAAAGUCGGGUAUGCAUACCCGUUUGCAUGUACUUUAUGAAUAAGGAUCGGCUAACUCCGUGCCAACAGCCGCGGUAAUACGGAGGAUCCGAGCGUUAUCCGGAUUUAUUGGGUUUAAAGGGAGCGUAGAUGGAUGUUUAAGUCAGUUGUGAAAGUUUGCGGCUCAACCGUAAAAUUGCAGUUGAUACUGGAUAUCUUGAGUGCAGUUGAGGCAGGCGGAAUUCGUGGUGUAGCGGUGAAAUGCUUAGAUAUCACGAAGAACUCCGAUUGCGAAGGCAGCCUGCUAAGCUGCAACUGACAUUGAGGCUCGAAAGUGUGGGUAUCAAACAGGAUUAGAUACCCUGGUAGUCCACACGGUAAACGAUGAAUACUCGCUGUUUGCGAUAUACUGCAAGCGGCCAAGCGAAAGCGUUAAGUAUUCCACCUGGGGAGUACGCCGGCAACGGUGAAACUCAAAGGAAUUGACGGGGGCCCGCACAAGCGGAGGAACAUGUGGUUUAAUUCGAUGAUACGCGAGGAACCUUACCCGGGCUUAAAUUGCAGAUGAAUUACGGUGAAAGCCGUAAGCCGCAAGGCAUCUGUGAAGGUGCUGCAUGGUUGUCGUCAGCUCGUGCCGUGAGGUGUCGGCUUAAGUGCCAUAACGAGCGCAACCCUUGUUGUCAGUUACUAACAGGUUCUGCUGAGGACUCUGACAAGACUGCCAUCGUAAGAUGUGAGGAAGGUGGGGAUGACGUCAAAUCAGCACGGCCCUUACGUCCGGGGCUACACACGUGUUACAAUGGGGGGUACAGAGGGCCGCUACCACGCGAGUGGAUGCCAAUCCCAAAAACCUCUCUCAGUUCGGACUGGAGUCUGCAACCCGACUCCACGAAGCUGGAUUCGCUAGUAAUCGCGCAUCAGCCACGGCGCGGUGAAUACGUUCCCGGGCCUUGUACACACCGCCCGUCAAGCCAUGGGAGCCGGGGGUACCUGAAGUGCGUAACCGCGAGGAGCGCCCUAGGGUAAAACUGGUGACUG
This 1440-nucleotide ribosomal RNA is filed under the name uncultured organism. RNAcentral describes it as "SSU rRNA". It matches the Rfam family "Bacterial small subunit ribosomal RNA". The record is from RNAcentral.